Pelobates cultripes (western spadefoot toad) is the source of this 547-nucleotide non-coding RNA. NCBI's taxonomy places the organism in Eukaryota, Metazoa, Chordata, Amphibia, Anura, Pelobatidae. The record is from the annotation of a GenBank genome assembly.
CAACAAUCACCACCUUUAUCCUACCGGAGGGGGGUCAACGCCACUGAAUGACAGUUAUACCUGACCUUGUACUAGCUCUCAAAUAGGUGAGUAGGAAUACUACUGCUGUAAAGUCCCCAUUUGCGUGCUUGAAACAAACUACACUAUUUGAGUUUUUUCCAUUUGCAUGCUAAGAAGUUUCUACUAUCUCACAAAUACAGAUCCACAUCUUAUCCAAGUACCUCAAACAAGUUGGACAUUCUUUUUAACAUCUUAUAAUCUGGACUAUACUAUAUUUCGAUUUGGCUUUUGUAUGCAAGUAUAUUUUUGGUAUUAUACUAUUUUAUUGAUUUUACUGUGGUGCGACCUAAUUUCAUAUUUUAUUAUAUACCAUCUUUAUGUGGAGCAACAAUUCUUUUUUUCAGAACAUCUGAGGUUGCCAUGAGGUGCCAUGUUGAACUGCCAGUGACCAUUAUGAGAGAGUGUGAGAGCGAUAACACCAAAUUUAACACACCUUCUCCCCAUUCACACCUGAGACCUUGUAACACUAACAAGACACAUGACACCA